CUCCGUAGGGGUAACCUGCGGAGGGAUCAUUACUGAGUUACCGCUCUAUAACCCUUUGUGAACAUACCUAACCGUUGCUUCGGCGGGCAGGGGAAGCCUCUCGCGGGCCUCCCCUCCCGGCGCCGGCCCCACCACGGGGACGGGGCGCCCGCCGGAGGAAACCAAACUCUAUUUACACGACGUCUCUUCUGAGUGGCACAAGCAAAUAAUUAAAACUUUUAACAACGGAUCUCUUGGUUCUGGCAUCGAUGAAGAACGCAGCGAAAUGCGAUAAGUAAUGUGAAUUGCAGAAUUCAGUGAAUCAUCGAAUCUUUGAACGCACAUUGCGCUCGCCAGCAUUCUGGCGAGCAUGCCUGUUCGAGCGUCAUUUCAACCCUCAAGCACCGCUUGGUUUUGGGGCCCCACGGCACACGUGGGCCCUUAAAGGUAGUGGCGGACCCUCCCGGAGCCUCCUUUGCGUAGUAACUAACGUCUCGCACUGGGAUUCGGAGGGACUCUUGCCGUAAAACCCCCCAAUUUUUUACAGGUUGACCUCGGAUCAGGUAG
RNAcentral lists this ribosomal RNA (546 nucleotides) under Colletotrichum sp. 1 ONH-2014. RNAcentral describes it as "eukaryotic LSU rRNA". The stretch from base 214 to 367 matches the Rfam family "5.8S ribosomal RNA". Lineage: Eukaryota; Fungi; Ascomycota; Sordariomycetes; Glomerellales; Glomerellaceae. The record is from RNAcentral.